AGGGAGGUAGCUCAGCGGUGCAGCGCCUGCCUGGCAAACACGAGGCCCUGAGUUAGAUUCCCAGCUACCCAC
This 72-nucleotide transfer RNA is filed under the name Heterocephalus glaber (naked mole-rat). It matches the Rfam family "tRNA". From Rfam's summary of the family: Transfer RNA (tRNA) molecules are approximately 80 nucleotides in length. Their secondary structure includes four short double-helical elements and three loops (D, anti-codon, and T loops). The record is from Rfam by way of RNAcentral. Lineage: Eukaryota; Metazoa; Chordata; Mammalia; Rodentia; Bathyergidae.